RNAcentral lists this ribosomal RNA (497 nucleotides) under uncultured bacterium. RNAcentral describes it as "partial 16S ribosomal RNA". It matches the Rfam family "Bacterial small subunit ribosomal RNA", at positions 28 to 507 of the family's 1533-position model. The record is from RNAcentral.
GAUGAACGCUGGCGGCGUGCCUAAUACAUGCAAGUCGAGCGAACAGAUAAGGAGCUUGCUCCUUUGACGUUAGCGGCGGACGGGUGAGUAACACGUGGGUAACCUACCUAUAAGACUGGGAUAACUUCGGGAAACCGGAGCUAAUACCGGAUAACAUUUGGAACCGCAUGGUUCUAAAGUGAAAGAUGGUUUUGCUAUCACUUAUAGAUGGACCCGCGCCGUAUUAGCUAGUUGGUAAGGUAACGGCUUACCAAGGCAACGAUACGUAGCCGACCUGAGAGGGUGAUCGGCCACACUGGAACGGAGACACGGUCCAGACUCCUACGGGAGGCAGCAGUAGGGAAUCUUCCGCAAUGGGCGAAAGCCUGACGGAGCAACGCCGCGUGAGUGAUGAAGGGUUUCGGCUCGUAAAACUCUGUUAUUAGGGAAGAACAAAUGUGUAAGUAAAUGUGCACGUCUUGACGGUACCUAAUCAGAAAGCCACGGCUAACUACGUG